This 520-nucleotide ribosomal RNA is filed under the name Staphylococcus sp. L370_HAm. Its description in RNAcentral is "partial 16S ribosomal RNA". It matches the Rfam family "Bacterial small subunit ribosomal RNA", at positions 846 to 1357 of the family's 1533-position model. The record is from RNAcentral. Lineage: Bacteria; Bacillati; Bacillota; Bacilli; Caryophanales; Staphylococcaceae.
CUGCAGCUNACGCAUUAAGCACUCCGCNUGGGGAGUACGACCGCCAAGGUUGAAACUCAAAGGNAUUGACGGGGACCCGCACAANCGNUGGAGCAUGUGGUNUAAUUCGAAGCAACGCGAAGAACCUUACCAAAUCAUGACAUCCUUNGACAACUUCUAGAGAUAGAGCCUUCCCCUUCGGGGGACUNNAGUGACAGGUGGUGCAUGGUGGUCGUCAGCUCGUGUCGUGAGAUGUUGGGUUAAGUCCCNCNACGAGCGCAACCCUUAAGCUUAGUUGCCAUCAUUAAGUUGGGCACUCUAAGUUGACUGCCGGUGACAAACCGGAGGAAGGUGGGGAUGACGUCAAAUCAUCAUGCCCCUUAUGAUUUGGGCUACACACGUGCUACAAUGGACAAUACAAAGGGCAGCGAAACCGUCGAGGUCAAGCAAAUCCCAUAAACGUUGUUCUCAGUUCGGANUUGUAGUCUGCAACUCGACUACAUGAAGNCUGGAAUCGCUAGUAACUCGUAGAUCAGCAUGC